RNAcentral lists this ribosomal RNA (697 nucleotides) under uncultured bacterium. RNAcentral describes it as "bacterial SSU rRNA". It matches the Rfam family "Bacterial small subunit ribosomal RNA", at positions 8 to 694 of the family's 1533-position model. The record is from RNAcentral.
AGAGUUUGAUCCUGGCUCAGAUUGAACGCUGGCGACAGGCCUAACACAUGCAAGUCGAACGGUAACAGGAAGCAGCUUGCUGCUUCGCUGACGAGUGGCGGACGGGUGAGUAAUGUCUGGGAAGCUGCCUGAUGGAGGGGGAUAACUACUGGAAACGGUAGCUAAUACCGCAUAAUGUCGCAAGACCAAAGAGGGGGACCUUCGGGCCUCUUGCCAUCGGAUGUGCCCAGAUGGGAUUAGCUUGUUGGUGGGGUAACGGCUCACCAAGGCGACGAUCCCUAGCUGGUCUGAGAGGAUGACCAGCCACACUGGAACUGAGACACGGUCCAGACUCCUACGGGAGGCAGCAGUGGGGAAUAUUGCACAAUGGGCGCAAGCCUGAUGCAGCCAUGCCGCGUGUAUGAAGAAGGCCUUCGGGUUGUAAAGUACUUUCAGCGGGGAGGAAGGGAGUAAAGUUAAUACCUUUGCUCAUUGACGUUACCCGCAGAAGAAGCACCGGCUAACUCCGUGCCAGCAGCCGCGGUAAUACGGAGGGUGCAAGCGUUAAUCGGAAUUACUGGGCGUAAAGCGCACGCAGGCGGUUUGUUAAGUCAGAUGUGAAAUCCCCGGGCUCAACCUGGGAACUGCAUCUGAUACUGGCAAGCUUGAGUCUCGUAGAGGGGGGUAGAAUUCCAGGUGUAGCGGUGAAAUGCGUAGA